Molecule: transfer RNA, 65 nt
Filed under: Scolytinae sp. BMNH 1040319
Lineage: Eukaryota; Metazoa; Arthropoda; Insecta; Coleoptera; Curculionidae
Description: tRNA-Ala
Source: RNAcentral
AGGAUUUUAGUUUAAAAAAAACAUUUAAUUUGCAUUUAAAUAAUAAUUUGUUUAAUUAAAUCUUA